GACGAACGCUGGCGGCGUGCUUAUCACAUGCAAGUCGAACGGAAAGGCCCUGCUUUUGUGGGGUGCUCGAGUGGCGAACGGGUGAGUAACGCGUGAGUAACCUGCCCUUGACUUUGGGAUAACUUCAGGAAACUGGGGCUAAUACCGGAUAGGAGCUCCUGCUGCAUGGUGGGGGUUGGAAAGUUUCGGCGGUUGGGGAUGGACUCGCGGCUUAUCAGCUUGUUGGUGGGGUAGUGGCUUACCAAGGCUUUGACGGGUAGCCGGCCUGAGAGGGUGACCGGCCACAUUGGGACUGAGAUACGGCCCAGACUCCUACGGGAGGCAGCAGUGGGGAAUAUUGCACAAUGGGCGGAAGCCUGAUGCAGCAACGCCGCGUGCGGGAUGACGGCCUUCGGGUUGUAAACCGCUUUCGCCUGUGACGAAGCGUGAGUGACGGUAAUGGGUAAAGAAGCACCGGCUAACUACGUG
Molecule: ribosomal RNA, 468 nt
Filed under: uncultured bacterium
Lineage: Bacteria
Description: partial 16S ribosomal RNA
Rfam family: Bacterial small subunit ribosomal RNA
Source: RNAcentral